RNAcentral lists this ribosomal RNA (301 nucleotides) under uncultured bacterium. RNAcentral's name for it is "partial 16S ribosomal RNA". It matches the Rfam family "Bacterial small subunit ribosomal RNA", at positions 509 to 807 of the family's 1533-position model. The record is from RNAcentral.
CAGUAGCCGCGGGAAUACAGAGGGUGCGAGCGUUAAUCGGAUUUACUGGGCGUAAAGCGUGCGUAGGCGGCUUCUUAAGUCGGAUGUGAAAUCCCUGAGCUUAACUUAGGAAUUGCAUUCGAUACUGGGAAGCUAGAGUAUGGGAGAGGAUGGUAGAAUUCCAGGUGUAGCGGUGAAAUGCGUAGAGAUCUGGAGGAAUACCGAUGGCGAAGGCAGCCAUCUGGCCUAAUACUGACGCUGAGGUACGAAAGCAUGGGGAGCAAACAGGAUUAGAUACCCGCGUAGUCCCUGUCACUUAUAC